AUAGGCACACAAUUUGCAUCUAUUGAUCUAUAACAUUAAAAUUGGAAGUACAAUACAAGUUUUGCACAUAUUCUACUGGUUUAUGAGUAUUUAGUUUUAGAGGAAAAAAAAACACAUCGUAGCUAGUUUUAAAUAAAUAAACUCCAAACAGCCAGCAGUACAACGCAGGACAGGCUGGGGACACCGGACACUGGCUUACAAACAUAAAGCGCAAACCAAACAGACAUCUAAACACCGUAGAGCACCAUAAAUCAAGAAGAGCUAAAAACAAAUAAAAUAAAAAAUAAAUGUUGUCAACA
This 299-nucleotide long non-coding RNA is filed under the name Brachypodium distachyon (stiff brome). Its description in RNAcentral is "long non-coding RNA (BDIS_LNC004599)". The record is from RNAcentral. Lineage: Eukaryota; Viridiplantae; Streptophyta; Magnoliopsida; Poales; Poaceae.